AUUUAAUGAAAGUUCAGAUUCAGGAGGAAAUACUCUUGAACUUGUAGGUACAUCAUAUGGAUAUUUCCAAUAAUACAGGUGAUAAUGCAAGAAUCUUUGAAGAUAAUUUGAGGAAAUUAAGCACUAAAAUCUGGGGAGACAAUAACCUUCUCUUUUUCAGGAUCUCUCAUAAUAAGCAACUUUUUAAUUCUUAUCAAUUUUUUGCUAUUUAUUGCUCAUUCAAAUCAAUAUUCUCAAAAAUCUUAAUGACAGCUUCAGUGAGUCCAACCCUUCAAUCAACUUUGAAAUUACUCUAGUUGUCAUAGAUUUAGGAUCAGAUUCUUCAGCUUCUUCAAGAGUGCUUUGCCUCUGAAUUUCAAUAAGAUUAAACAUGAGAGUUUAGCGGCUCUGAGACUAUCUGCAACAUUAACUUCCAAAUCACUUCGUUAGAAUAUUGAAAAUCUUCUAAAAAUCCUUUACUGUUAGAUCCUUGUUUUACUUUAUGAUUUUGUUUAAAUUGACAAAGAUAUAUUGAAUGUAAUAGAUUUUUAACAUCUUGAUUCAUAAAUUAAAUUAGACACAGUGAUGAGAUAUAUGUUAACUUUUACUCACGGAUCAAGUUCAGAAAGGCUGUAAGGAGUAGCUAGCAGUAUUUUUUGAUGGUAAACAUUACCUUAAAAGAUAGAUUUUGUGUGCAACAUAAAAGAGAUUUGAUGGCUAAAUUAGUCCUUAGGUAUUUCAGCAAUAAUCUAAACUUGGAAUUUCAUUUCCAAAUAACUGGAAUCCUAGGCCUUCACUUGUUCUUAAGAGUUUAUAGAUUCUCUGAACACCAAAUCAUGACUGACUUCAAUUUGUAAUCAUCAGCUUCAAAUCUUCAUUAUUUUAAAUCCAAGAAAUAUCUUCUUUUCAUGGAAAAUAUUUUGCAACAGACUUCAUCUUCCAAAAAAAAUCAUACUUCCUCAACAUGGAAGAUAGCCUUAGAGCAAUAGCUUCAGACUUAUAUUAACUCCUUCAAUCAUUUGAAGGAAGAAAAAGCUUUUUCCAAUUAUUCUAGCAAACUUCCUAUUAACAUUUACAAUCUCACUAGUAUCUGCAGUAUUAUACCAGCCAUAGUACAGCUAGUUCUUAAUUUACAACCAACUUGUAUUUACAACAGCAAUGUCAUUGAUAAAUUUGUUAUUGGUCAGUGUAAUUGAUUUAGGUUCAAUUCUCUCUAAUAAUUUAAUAUACAGAAAGCAUCUUUUUUGUGUUUAAGUUUAUUAUGAUAAAGUGGAAUGUAAUAA
This 1262-nucleotide long non-coding RNA is filed under the name Androctonus crassicauda. The record is from RNAcentral. Lineage: Eukaryota; Metazoa; Arthropoda; Arachnida; Scorpiones; Buthidae.